Molecule: ribosomal RNA, 869 nt
Filed under: Sphingobacterium sp.
Lineage: Bacteria; Pseudomonadati; Bacteroidota; Sphingobacteriia; Sphingobacteriales; Sphingobacteriaceae
Description: bacterial SSU rRNA
Rfam family: Bacterial small subunit ribosomal RNA
Source: RNAcentral
AUGCAAGUCGGACGGGAUCCAUCGGUAGCUUGCUAUCCAUGGUGAGAGUGGCGCACUGGGUGCGUAACGCGUGAGCAACCUGCCUCCAUCAGGGGGAUAGCCUCUCGAAAGAGAGAUUAACACCGCAUAACAUAUUGUACCGGCAUCGGAAGAUUAUUAAAUAUUUAUAGGAUGGAGAUGGGCUCGCGUGACAUUAGCUAGUUGGUGGGGUAACGGCUUACCAAGGCGACGAUGUCUAGGGGCUCUGAGAGGAGAAUCCCCCACACUGGUACUGAGACACGGACCAGACUCCUACGGGAGGCAGCAGUAAGGAAUAUUGGUCAAUGGGCGGAAGCCUGAACCAGCCAUGCCGCGUGCAGGAUGACUGCCCUAUGGGUUGUAAACUGCUUUUGUCCGGGAAUAAACCUCCUUACGAGUAGGGAGCUGAAUGUACCGGAAGAAUAAGGAUCGGCUAACUCCGUGCCAGCAGCCGCGGUAAUACGGAGGAUCCGAGCGUUAUCCGGAUUUAUUGGGUUUAAAGGGUGCGUAGGCGGCCCGUUAAGUCAGGGGUGAAAUACGGUGGCUCAACCAUCGCAGUGCCUUUGAUACUGACGGGCUUGAAUCCAUAUGAAGUGGGCGGAAUAAGACAAGUAGCGGUGAAAUGCAUAGAUAUGUCUUAGAACUCCGAUUGCGAAGGCAGCUCACUAAGCUGGUAUUGACGCUGAUGCACGAAAGCGUGGGGAUCGAACAGGAUUAGAUACCCUGGUAGUCCACGCCCUAAACGAUGAUAACUCGAUGUUGGCGAUAGACAGCCAGCGUCCCAGCGAAAGCGUUAAGUUAUCCACCUGGGGAGUACGCCCGCAAGGGUGAAACUCAAAGGAUUGACGGGG